UGAUGUCCUGUCCAAAGCAUUAACAUAUCUUGAUAAAUCCUUUCCUAACAGGAGCAGCCCAAGAUAAAACUGGGUAUGACUCUACCCCUCGCUCUUUUUGUUUUGAAGGUAGCAUGUCCAAGUCUACGUUCUUUCUGAUAAUGAAUGCAUCUGGCAGAGAUGGAAGCCUUAUCUUCUGUUAUUAACAUUGUUUCACAGCCUCAGAUCAGUCACUGCACAACUCCAGGGGGGCCUACACAUCAAAUCGUGAUUUUUUUCAAGGAAGAGGCCAUGAGUAUGUCAGCUGAGGUCACUUUGUAAGGAAAAUUGAGAUUGUGUUCCCAAGAUUCCAGCCACUUCCCAGGGACACUGGCUCAGUUCUUGUUCUUACCCAGUUCACUGUCUCAGCUUCCAGAGGACAGAACCUUACCUCACCAGAUCCUUAACAGCUCCUCAUUCCCUGCCUCCUCACUACCCUACUGCCUCAGCUGCUGGUAACCAUCAUUCUAUUCUCUAUGUCUACGAAUUCAACUUAUUAGAUCCACGAAGAGGUGGGAGACGCAACAGCACAUCUAUAUGCUGAGGAAGGGUGAGGACAAAUUGAUGCAAGAGUAAGAGGAACUUCUGAGAGUCCUUGUGUGGGCAGGACCAGCAGGGAUGGUGUCCUGUGUGCAAAGGCAAGAAGGGCCUGGGGGGAGAGGUCAGCUCAUCCAGACCAGCAGAGAAGACAAAGACAUGAAUAGCGUUUUCUUAGUAUCCCACACAGACUCUUUGUUAAUGAUGGUGAUAAUAUCAAUGACUACAACCAUAGAAUAGUUAAUAGGCCUUUGUAUUCAUUGACAAGAUGAGUCACACAAAUCCAGCAGUACUUGAGUUUCUUGGAUGAAGUUCUCAACAAGGACACUGGGAGGAUCUUGUAGGUACAGAUUUCUCUGUAUCUCCAGCUAGGAAGGAGUGAUGGACCCCCCAACCCAACUCUCCUUUGAAGUAAUGCUCACUUGGUCUGAAUUGGAGUGAUCAAUUGGUAGAGAUGACAGAAAGUCCUCCGUCUGUGUAUUCAGUGGAAAAUUAUACUGCCAUUCUAUUUUUUUUCAGUGUUAAUGGUAUUCUCAUAAACAAAAGCUUCCGUUCCCUGUCCCCUUGUUGGUACCACCACCAUUACUCUAAUCACCAUUACCUAUGCAACAAAAAUAGCAGUAACUACCAUUUAAUAGGUGGUCCUGUCUGAGGCCAGGAAGUCGAGGCUGCAGCACUGGAACUGGGUGUCACUCCAGCUGGGUGACAGAGUGAGACCCUGUCUCAAAAGAAAAAAAAAAAAAGGAGAGCUGGGCUCUACCAUCUCACUUCUCUUCACAACAGCCCUGUGUGGUAGUGUAUGACUGUAUCAGCCCCUGUUAACAGUUGUGGAAAAUUAGGCUUACAGAAUUAGGCUACUGCCUAUUGUCACAUCUCAGAAGCAUCAGAGCCAGAAUUGAAAUCUAAGUCCAGGUGACUCCAAAGUCCUUGCCCUUAACAAUAAUUUUCUAUCAUACCACCUCCCUUUCUGAGUGAGAAUUUUUCCUGGCAAGAGUAGAUAUAUGCAUGUUUUCCCUCCAGUGCUCAUUUAUUAUGAAGACCACAGUUUGACAAUAAUAAAGGAACUCAGAAGAAUGGAAAUAAUUCAGAGUUCCCAACAUCCUGUUGGAGCGACUGUUUUCAUUUUUCUCCCUUUCCUUUUGACCCUUAUCCGUUUAUACAUCAUUACAUAGUUGUAAAUGCAAUUUUAUUUUCUGCUUUUAUGCUUAAUGUUACACCAAACAUUUUUCUUGUUGCUAUUUAGUCUUUGAUAGAUGCACAAUAUUCCAUUUUGUUAAUGUGCCACAGUUUAAACAAUCACCCACGAUGGACGACAUUUGUUUCCAGUUUCUUAGUUUUUAAACGAUGCUGCAAGGAACCAUUUUGUUUUCCUCUCAUCUUUUGUCAGUUUUUUCUUACAACAAACUCCCAGGAGUGACAUUACCAAACAAGAAUUUGAACAUGUUUAUGGAUUUAAUACUUUAAACGGCAGUGAAAUUAGGAGAAUUUGUAUCUUUGAUCACAGUGGAUAAAUUUCGCCGCUGGCAAGAACAGCUUAACUACAUGAAUUAUUGUUUAGGUGGACAAAAUUCAAGACGAAUGGGGAGUGACUGCUAAUGGGGACGGGGUUUCUUUUCGAGGUCAUGAAAUGUUCUGGAAUGAUAGCGGUCAUGGUUGCACGACUUUGGCAAUGUGCUAAGAACACUGAAUUGUAUGUAUAUUUUAAAAGGAUGGGUUUUGUGG
Molecule: long non-coding RNA, 2277 nt
Organism: Rhinopithecus roxellana (golden snub-nosed monkey)
Lineage: Eukaryota; Metazoa; Chordata; Mammalia; Primates; Cercopithecidae
Exons: 4
Source: RefSeq, a predicted model, not a curated record